RNAcentral lists this ribosomal RNA (490 nucleotides) under uncultured bacterium. RNAcentral's name for it is "partial 16S ribosomal RNA". It matches the Rfam family "Bacterial small subunit ribosomal RNA", at positions 30 to 507 of the family's 1533-position model. The record is from RNAcentral.
AUUGAACGCUGGCGGCAGGCCUAACACAUGCAAGUCGAACGGUAACAGGGAUCAGCUUGCUGAUUCGCUGACGAGUGGCGGACGGGUGAGUAAUGUCUGGGAAACUGCCUGAUGGAGGGGGAUAACUACUGGAAACGGUAGCUAAUACCGCAUAACGUCGCAAGACCAAAGAGGGGGACCUUCGGGCCUCUUGCCAUCGGAUGUGCCCAGAUGGGAUUAGCUAGUAGGUGGGGUAACGGCUCACCUAGGCGACGAUCCCUAGCUGGUCUGAGAGGAUGACCAGCCACACUGGAACUGAGACACGGUCCAGACUCCUACGGGAGGCAGCAGUGGGGAAUAUUGCACAAUGGGCGCAAGCCUGAUGCAGCCAUGCCGCGUGUAUGAAGAAGGCCUUCGGGUUGUAAAGUACUUUCAGCGGGGAGGAAGGGAGUAAAGUUAAUACCUUGGCUCAUUGACGUUACUCGCAGAAGAAGCACCGGCUAACUCCGUG